RNAcentral lists this ribosomal RNA (499 nucleotides) under uncultured Glomeromycotina. RNAcentral's name for it is "partial small subunit ribosomal RNA". It matches the Rfam family "Eukaryotic small subunit ribosomal RNA", at positions 591 to 1092 of the family's 1831-position model. The record is from RNAcentral. Lineage: Eukaryota; Fungi; Glomeromycota.
CCAAUAGCGUAUAUUAAAGUUGUUGCAGUUAAAAAGCUCGUAGUUGAAUUUCGGGACCAAUUUGUUGGUCGUGCCUCGGUACGUACUGGUAUUUUUGGUUUCUCCCUUCUGAAGAACCUCGGUGUCAUUAAUUUGGUGUCGUGGGGAAUCAGGACUGUUACUUUGAAAAAAUUAGAGUGUUUAAAGCAGGCAUACGCUUGAAUACAUUAGCAUGGAAUAAUGAAAUAGGACGUUUGAUUCUAUUUUGUUGGUUUCUAGGAUCGACGUAAUGAUUAAUAGGGAUAGUUGGGGGCAUUAGUAUUCAAUUGUCAGAGGUGAAAUUCUUGGAUUUAUUGAAGACUAACUACUGCGAAAGCAUUUGCCAAGGAUGUUUUCAUUAAUCAAGAACGAAAGUUAGGGGAUCGAAGACGAUCAGAUAUCGUCGUAGUCUUAACCAUAAACUAUGCCGACUAGGGAUCGGAUGAUGUUAAUUUUUUAAUGACUCAUUCGGCGCCUUACG